Labrus mixtus (cuckoo wrasse) is the source of this 1341-nucleotide long non-coding RNA. RefSeq lists it as uncharacterized. The transcript is spliced from 3 exons. NCBI's taxonomy places the organism in Eukaryota, Metazoa, Chordata, Actinopteri, Labriformes, Labridae. The record is from RefSeq and is a predicted model, not a curated record.
UUUCCUCAGAGAAUAAAAGCCGGACAGAGAGCGUUAUUCCUCCUGGAGAGUCCAGGCCUGACAGUCUGUUUGGGGAGCAGGAGGCGGCAGGUUGGCCACUCCCUCACCUGUGUACUCUGCUGGAAGAAGUUCUCCUCUCUGUGCCAGAGCGUUUGGCAUAGCUGUGUGGAGCAAUGACAGCUGUGAGGGAGUUCAAGUCUGGGUUAGAACGAUACCAAACCGCACCCAGCAGCAACCAGCAGACCUGAUCAGUGUCAAGGGCAAGAAUCCCCAACAGGUGCCGUCCGGCUCGGAUUCAUAUGCAUUCAGACGGUAGCAGGAACGGACUGUGCAGAUGAAUGGACACCUGUAAGACAAAGAGAAGGGACACAAGAGCGCUGGAGGAGGAACAGGGGAGUUAUUUGCUCAGGGCAGCAGGUGUGUGUGGGAGUGUGGGUCCUUUCAAAAAUGGGGUGGUCACCGAAUCCAGACUCAGCGGGGGACCACAGUGCUCACCGAGGUGUGAAGUGGCCUGGGCCAGGAGCGGAUUAUAAACCUGUCGUGCUUUACAAUAGAGGUGAGAAGCAGCAAGGGGGCCCUGGGUUACAGCUCAGCAAACAGGACAAACUGCACAUAUCCCAAACGUUAAGAGGGGCUGUGAAUGGAGACCUGCUGUUUGAAAUGAUAUACAAUUAAACCUCCUGCAGGAAAAAGUAUAAAGGUCACUGUGGUGGUCAUUAAACAGCGGGUCAUUAAAGACAGGUUAGACCUGUAAACAACACAGGUUAGAUACCGUCACAAAGGGCGACUUAAAUUAUCACACUGACUCGCAAAUGUUGUGGAAAUUGAGUGUUAAAAUAAACCUGAUUGGCUGGUUAUUUUGGCAAAAAAGUGUAACUUGUGUCAACAUUAAAGAAAGGAACUGAAAGGAGCUGAUUAUUUCCAGUAACUCAAAUCUCCCUCACUGUGAUUAAGGCUGUUAAAUAAGAUCAACUAAAUCGACCCAAACAGAGGAAUAAAGGGUAAUAAAUAUAGAUGUUUAGAAUCAAUUAAAUUCAAAUUAAUUACUUUCAAGAAAAAAAAUCUACUGUGCAUAAACAAUUUUAAGUUGUUUAAACUUAAAAGGAGAACGGUUACACUCCUAGGAUAAACAUUAUGGAUCUAAUACAGGACCAUUUUGACCUUUAAAUGUAGAUUUGUUAAAUCAGUUUUCUUGACAGGCACUAGGUAGAAUCAAUUUGUUUAUUUCAGCAAAAAUAGUGAAAAAAGGUGCGCCAGUGGGCCUUGUGGUUAGGUCGCACUCCUCAUGUAUAGAGGCUUUAGUUCUCGAAGCUGGCAGCCCGGGUUUGACUCCGACCCUAA